AUCACGCACCUUAGAGCCACCUCUGGAGGACGCUCCUGUGCUGGUGCUGUCUUGUCUCUGAGAGAUGCAGCUCCAGUCUGGUGUUCCUCGGCAGCUUCCUGGCUGUACAUUUGGAGGUGUUUGAGUUAUUGGUGUGUGAGAGCAAUCUACCUGCCCCCAGACCUACGGCUGUACUGGCAACCCAGUUUUACUGGUGGGACUCUACCAGGGCAGCCAGGCUGGGGCCCGGUCAAC
Molecule: small nucleolar RNA, 234 nt
Organism: Esox lucius (northern pike)
Lineage: Eukaryota; Metazoa; Chordata; Actinopteri; Esociformes; Esocidae
Product: small nucleolar RNA SNORA53
Source: Ensembl